CCCUGGGUGGUGCAAACAGUUAACACAUUCAGCUGCUAACCAAAAGGUUGGUGGUUCGAAUCCACCCAGAGGUG
This is a transfer RNA of Loxodonta africana (African savanna elephant), 74 nucleotides long. It matches the Rfam family "tRNA". From Rfam's summary of the family: Transfer RNA (tRNA) molecules are approximately 80 nucleotides in length. Their secondary structure includes four short double-helical elements and three loops (D, anti-codon, and T loops). The record is from Rfam. NCBI's taxonomy places the organism in Eukaryota, Metazoa, Chordata, Mammalia, Proboscidea, Elephantidae.